This 331-nucleotide ribosomal RNA is filed under the name uncultured bacterium. RNAcentral describes it as "bacterial SSU rRNA". It matches the Rfam family "Bacterial small subunit ribosomal RNA", at positions 8 to 334 of the family's 1533-position model. The record is from RNAcentral.
AGAGUUCGAUUCUGGCUCAGGACGAACGCUGGCGGCGCGCCUAACACAUGCAAGUCGAACGAGCAAGAGAAAGCUUGCUUUCUCGAGCGAGUGGCGAAUGGGUGAGUAACGCGUGAGGAACCUGCCUCAAAGAGGGGGACAACAGUUGGAAACGACUGCUAAUACCGCAUAAGCCCACGGGUCGGCAUCGGCCAGAGGGAAAAGGAGCAAUCCGCUUUGAGAUGGCCUCGCGUCCGAUUAGCUAGUUGGUGAGGUAAUGGCCCACCAAGCCGACGAUCAGUAGCCGACCUGAGAGGGUGACCGGCCACAUUGGGACUGAGACACGGCCCAA